GCUCCAUCAUCUCAGCACUUUCACGAGCCAAGGCUAAGUCAACCCGUGGUUCAGCUCUUGUCACUGUGUCGCAUGGCAAGUUCUUCUGUAAUGGCUUCGACCUAGAUUGGGUCAAUGCCACCGGUUCCAAACAAGAAGCCCAACAACGCUUCGAUUACUCGCUCGACUGCCUCACGCAGCUCGUCCAAGCCUUCAUCUCCCUCCCCAUGCCAACUGUCGCCGCCGUCAAUGGUCAUGCCGCUGCUGCCGGCGUGGUAAUCCCCCUCUGUCAUGACUACGUGGUCAUGAGACGUGACAGAGGUGUGCUUUACGUGAACGAUUUGGAAAUGGGGCUUAAGAUUCCUGAACUGUACAUGGCAUUUUUUAGGGCCAAAACUUCGGGGUGGGCGCUACGUGAUUUGGUGUUGCGUGGGUUGAAGAUAAAGGGAGAGGAGUUGCUGAAAAUGGGGAUAGUGGACGCCGUUUACGACGGCGAGGAAGGAGUUACAAAUGCCGGAAUGAAGAUGGCCGAUGAUUUGGCCAGAAGGAAAUGGGAUGGUGAAGUUUACGCUGAAAUUAGAAAAGGGUUGUAUUCUGAAUUUUGUGGCAUGCUGGGAAUAGCAUCCAAAGCUAUUGGAACCCCAAAACUUUGAUUAACAUGUUGGUGCAUAAAAUUAACAAGGGAAGGAAGUGGUGGUUUGGAGGGCGGAUCACCCUUAGCCAUAUAGGUGAAGAGAGAGAGAGAGAGCCCCCAAUGACCCCACCUGAAGAAAUGCAAGGUUUAAUGUGAAAGUUCUUAUUCUAAAAUUCUGAUUUUAAACUUAGUUUUACAUAAGGCUCAUCUAGAGUAUUUAUAGGCUCAACUUCUCUUAACAGACUAGCUAACAACUCAGCUCUCCUGUAACUGCAUUCUAACAAAUUCAUUUAUCUUAACAUGCAUCCAUCUCCUUCUCCGAACAAACCUGAAGAAAAUUCCGAAACCUAGUAAAGGACCCAACUGAUAGUGGUUUAGUUAAUACAUCAGCAACUUGAUCAGACGCAGGAACUUCACCAACCACAACUAAUCCAUCAGCAACCUUUUCACGAACAAAGAACAAAUCUAACUCCACGUGCUUGAAUUUGGAAUGUAACACAGGAUUGGCAGCAACAGCAACGGCACUGGAACUGUCACACCAGAUAUUAGGCGGAGCAGAAGACUUAACAUGCAACUCCUGAAGUAAGGAAAGUAACCACAUAACAUCACUAGUUACAGCAGCAAGACUUCGAUAUUCAGCCUCCGCCGUAGAUCGAGACACGACCUGCUGUUUCUUAGACGACCACGAAACAGGAUUUGACCCAAAAAAUACACAAUAUCCUGAAGUUGAUCGUCGAUCAUCGAAAUCCAAUCCCCAAUUAGCAUCAGAAAACCCAACCAACGAUAAUAAACCAGACCGACGAAACAUAAUCCCAAAAUCAAGUGUUCCAGCCAAAUACCGCAAUAUCCUCUUAAGUGCACCCAUAUGAACCGUGGUAGGAUUAUGCAUGAACUGGCAAACCCUGUUUACCGCAUACGCAAUAUCAGGCCUAGUAAUAACCACAUAUUGUAAAGCACCAGCCAAACUCCUAUAUUCCGUCGGAUCUGACAAUAAAUCCCCGUCAUCCUUGGAAACAUGAGACGAACUAACCAUAGGUGUAUGAACACUUUUAGCAUUAGACAAGCCACUUCGUUUUAACAUAUCCUGAACGUACUUUUUCUGGCAUAAAUGAAGACUCCCAUUAGAGGACCUAGUAACCUCAAGACCCAGAAAAUAAUGCAGACUUCCCAUAUCUUUGAGCGAGAACUCAUCAUUCAGCAGCUUCACAAACCAAUCAAUAGAAGAUGAUACACCUCCAGUUAUGAUUAUGUCAUCAACAUACACAAGAACAUAAAGUAUGGAGUCAGAGCAAACCCGAACAAACAACGAAGCAUCAGAUUUGGAACCAACAAACCCAACUGCUAGAAGAAAAGCCUUUAGCUUCUCAAACCAUGAGCGAGGAGCCUGACGUAAACCAUAUAACGCCUUUUUUAAAUGACAGACCAAAGGUUUUCCAUCAACUCCAAGCUGUACAUAUCCCGGAGGUUGCUGCAUAAACACUUCUCUAUCAAUAUCACCAUUUAAAAAGGCAUUGUUAACAUCCACCUGACGAAGUGACCACCCUUUAGUGACCGCAAUCGAUAAAAUAACCCUAAUAGUCGCAGGCUUGACCACCGGACUAAAGGUUUCUUGAAAAUCACAUCCCGGAACCUGAGAACAACCUUUCGCAACUAAACGUGCUUUGCACCGUUCAAUCGUACCGUCUGGAUUUUUCUUGACUUUGAAUAACCAUUUGCAGCCAAUAACCUUGCGACCUGAUGGCAAGGAAACAAGUUCCCAGGUACCAUUUCGGAUGUGUGCAUCAUACUCAGCUUGAGCAGCGGUCUGCCACUCAGGGCUAGCAAAUGCUUCUUCAAUCGUUGAAGGUUCACUAACUUCAACCGCAAGAACUUUAGGUUUGAAAAUCCCAGCCUUUGAUCGAGUAGUCAUAGGAUGAACAUUCGUAUCAGGCACAGAAAUCUCUGGUCCUAUAGGAACAGAUGGAAUUGGAACAACUGGUGUGGGAGACUGAUCAUUAGGAUACGAGUUAGUACUUCCGAAAUUAACAGCAACUUCAUUUGGAGAACCCGGAUCUUCAUUAAGAACCGGAACACUAGGAGAAGUAGUACUCGUUGGAUCAGUAUUGACUUCAUCCGGAGGAACCGAAGAUCCACUCAAAACACCCGGGCAUGCCAAACCAGUAACUAUGUUCCUAUGAUCAGAAACAUUAGUUUGAACUACCAGAAAACACGUAGGUACAGUAUUUACCUCCCAAGAGGAGCAUGACAAAGACACCGGAGAAAGAAACCGUGACUCAUCAAACUCUACAUGACGAGAUAUAAUGAUUCGACCAUCAGGUAAGAGACAUUGAUACCCUUUGUGACAAGAGCUGUAUCCCAAAAACGUACACGGUUGAGAUCGAAAAUCUAGCUUGUGACGUUGAAACGGCCUCAGAUACGGAUAGCAACAACAACCAAAUACCCGCAAAUGCUCAUAGGUAGGAUCACACCCAUACAACACUCUAUACGGAGUCUUACCAUCCAGUACUGGUGUAGGAAGACGAUUUAUCAAAUGAACCGCACAUGUAAACGCAUAGGCCCAAAACUCCAUUGAAAGCCCUGCUUGAGCUAACAGAGUAAGCCCCAUUUCCACAAUAUGUCUAUGUUUACGUUCUGCAACACCAUUUUGUUCAGACGUAUGAGGACAGGUAAUGCGAUGAAUAAUGCCUUGAUCAGCUAAAACUGAGGCAACCGCUCUAUACUCCCCGCCCCAGUCACUCUGAAACUGCUUAAUAGACUUGCCGAAUUAAUUCUGCACGAGUUUCUGAAACUGAACAAAGCACUUCACAGCUUGUGAUUUUUGUCGAAUUAAAUACACCCAAGUGAAGCGAGAACACAUAUCAAUAAACGAGACAUAAUACCAAUUUGACCCAGAGGCAACUGAGGCAGGGCCCCACAAAUCCGAAACAAUCAAAGAAAAAGGGUCAGUAUAUUCAGUAGUGGAAACCGGAAACGGCAAUUUAUGAAACUUUCCCUUUUUACAAGCAGUACAAACAUCGCUUAUUUCAACUUUAUUUAAUUUGAAAUGACAGCUAUCAAGAACAUUCUUAACAACUUUCGAAGACGGAUGUCCAAGACGCUUGUGCCACAGUAAACAAAACUCACUAUCAGCAGUCUGAGUUGAAAGAUCAACCUGAGCAGUGGAUGGAUGAAACGAAACAGGAAUAGUAGUAUCGGAUACGGAGAACUGAUAGAGCCCAUUAUGUAUACGGCCCGUCAGCAAAACCUCCUGUGUCACGCUAUCCUUAAUCACACAAUAAUUUGAGUGAAACUCAAAGAAAACACCAUUAUCAGUUGCAAAUUGUGAUACCGACAAUAAAUUCUUCCGAAUAGCCGGCACACAUAGUACAUUGGAUAAUCGAAGUACCCUAGACUUUGUAGCCAAAACACCCUGACCAAUAGAUGAGAUCAUAGCAGGCGAACCAUCACCCAUUAAAAGAGAAGACGUACCUGAAUAUGGAACAGCAUCAUGUAGUGCCGAAGGAUCUUGACACACGUGAUUGCUGGCUCCCGAGUCAGGAUACCAAGAUGAUGAGCCACGAGCUCGUGGCUUAGUCUGCCAUGGAACACCUAUAUUAUCCGAUGGCUUUGAUGGACCCAACUGCACAUUAUUCGAAACUGGAUUAGUAGCUAUGAAAGGAUUAUUGCCAAUAUGUGGCCCAAUACCAUUCUUCGGCCCAACACCACUAUUAGGCCCAAUAGUACCAUCAAUACCAUCAUUCGGCCCAUGCUCUUGAGGCCUAAAUGUUUGGCGCUCAUUAGGCUCCCUAUGCGGUCUGGGCCAACAAUUUUGCCCACCAUGAAACGGACCAUACGGCCCCACCUGUUGCUCACAAAAUGCAUUAGUCCCAUCAGCAUACCACUUUGGACCACAAUCAUAAUUUUGACCAGCAAAAUAAUUCUGACCACUUCCAUUAUAAUUUUGACCAUUUUCAAAAUAAUUUUGACCAUGGUUAGAGAACCUAGGCCUUGUGUUUUGCUGUGCAGACCAUCCCCGAAGACCAGAGGCAGUUGGGACUUGCGGCGGACAUGGCGCCUGAGAUGUGUCAUCCCGGUGAUAGCGAUAAUAGCACCGCUGAGCAACAUGGCCGAACCUCGAGCAGAUCUGACACUGAAGUCGCGGCCGGAAGUUCCUACCACGGCCACGAGAUCCCGAACGGCCUCCACGCAACGCGCCAUCCUCGACCGGCGGCGAAGACUCCUCCACAAGAUUUGCCGCAUACACAACGUCUUGAGAAGCCUGCGCCUGCCUGUUCUCACACUCAACAAGCGCAGCCACUAAACGCUGAAACGGUAGAGGAGUCGGCGACAACGAUGCAGAUGAAACAACGCCCUCAAACUCUGACGGAAGACCGGCAAGCAAGACCGCCGUGCGUUCCGCCAUCGAGAUAGGAUCACCAGCCACUGCCAAAAGUGUACAAAUACCCUUCAACUUAGUAACAUACUUACGGAUCGACAUGUUACCUUUUUUUAGAGAAUGAAGUUCAUGACGUAGGCGCGACUGCUUGAGAUCCGUAUCUGCAACGAACAAUUCCAACGCCGUCGUCCACACAUCCGAGGCCGAUUGAACCUCCGAGAACGAACUCAAAAUCGACGAACUUAUAGUAGAGAGGAGCCAAGACGUGAGAAGAUUGUCUUGCUGUUGAAAGGCAGAAGACGCCGGAUUCAACACCAAAGCACCGUCUGGUGCAGUGACGAACUUCGGCGGAGCUGUAACAGAGCCAUCAAGAAAGCCAAACAGUUCAUAUCCAUUAACGAUAAACCGAACCUGUUGCUUCCAUUGAAGAAAGGAUCCUUCAUCAAGCUUAACAACAUCGUGCCGAGGGAAAGAAUUGACCACACGAUCAUUGGCAAAGGCAGCUCCACGCGACUCAAGUGACUCCGAGGCAGCAAAAGUUUCAUUGACGUUAGCCAUGAACACGACUCACCUGGCGACUGAUACCAUGAAGAAAUGCAAGGUUUAAUGUGAAAGUUCUUAUUCUAAAAUUCUGAUUUCAAACUUAGUUUUACAUAAGGCUCAUCUAGAGUAUUUAUAGGCUCAACUUCUCUUAACAGACUAGCUAACAACUCAGCUCUCCUGUAACUGCAUUCUAACAAAUUCAUUUAUCUUAACACCACCCAUGAUCAAAUGUGAUUACUAGUGUGGGCCAAAGCCUCUUGGCGUAGCCACUGCUUAACGGUGUGGAAGGUAAGUUUCCUUAAGAUUAUUUCAUCAUAUUCACUUUUAGAAUUUCUUUUUUAUAUUUCUAUUUGAAUAUAUCUUGGAGUAUUUUAUGAAAAAUUAGUUUAUAUAUUUGUUUGUGUAACUUUUAAAUUUUACAAGUAGAUUUAAAAGUAAUGUUGUUUAAACUUGAUUGGAUCAGAUGAAUCAGGAAUUGAUUGAGAUAUCCGUUCCAAAAGAGGUUUUGAAUUGGUUGAUACGAAAAUCGGUAUGAACCAAUUAAUCUAAGUAAAAAAUUAGUUGAACUGAUUGAAUUGAUUUUUUUUUAUUUUUUGAAUUUUUAAUCAGACCAAUAAAAUUAGUCAAACUUGUUGGACCGAUGAAUUGGUAGCCUCUAACCAAUUAGACCACAGGUUCAAUUUAAAAAAUAUUUGUUGAAAAAGCUAUACAUGACCAUAAAGUAUAGUAAAGAAAAAUAAAACCCAUAUUUAAAAAAAUGGGAAACACGUCACCCGUUUAAUAUUACUUUCGGAAUAUAAAAAUUUUAUUAGUCAUAUAUAAAAUAAUUAUUCAAAUUUUAUUUAGGUGAGUAUUUGACAUACUAGUCGUGCACUUUUUUAACUCCACAAACAAAUCUAGGAGGGUGUCAAAGUAUCAUUUUUAAUUAUUUUAUAUUUUAUGCAAUAUUGGAGCAAUGGAAGGGGAAUAACACGGUUUAAAUACAUGCUAAACAUGUGUUUGAUAAAAAUUUUAACCGUUUCUCCAUACAAAUCAAAAUAUUAUUAUUACAAUUUUAAAACAAAUGACACUAAUCUAAACCCGCUUCUAAAGAUUUUUUUUACUCUAGCAAUAAUGUAUAAGAUAAUAAUCCUUUAUUUAAUUUUAAUGAAACUUAUAAAUAUUUGAUUUUAGAUGAUGUUAUUAUUACUAUUAUUUUAGAUCAAAUUAUAUCAUUUUGUUUUGAAUUUGCUUUACAAAUUUUCAUAAUUGAGAUUCAUCACAAUUUGAUAGUUUGAUUUACACCAUUAUUGAACCUAUAUUAACUUUAAAUGGUUACUAGCUUAGGUUUUUCCUUUUCAAUGAGAAAUUUUCUUUUAUAUAUAAAUAAUUAUAAUAAAAGAAAAUGAGUAACAAGGACAUCCCCAUAAUCUUAUUUGAAUUGUUGUCCAAAAUUUAUUAUUAAUAUUAUAGAAUAUUUUGUAUCGUGAAUCUAAAUAUUAUGAUGGGUAUAAAUAUUUGAAAGUAUAUUAGUUGUUAUAAAAAAAAAUCUUAUAUUAACAUCACAUUUGUAUAGCAUAAAAAAUAAGGUUGGAUUGUACUAACAUUCAUAACUUCAUUGAUAGGUGAAAUUGAGGCAGUCCAUACUUUGAAGAGUAUAUAAAAAGAGAUCCUGAUGAUCUGAAUAAUACAAAUUCAAAUUUAAAACUCGAUCAAGGACCAAUAGACGAUAAUAAAGAGUAUAUGUAAAAUAUAAAACAAGGAAUAAUCAACCUACGAUAGAAUUGUAUAUGAUGUUUAUUUUUCUUAUUAUCUUUUAUUAAUAAUUGUAUUACUGACUACUUUUUUAACCUAAUAUAAUUUUUUUUAUUGUACUGAUAAUUUGUACGGUAAUUAAUUUUUUAAAAAAAUAUAUAAAUUAUGUAAUCAUAUGUAAUUGUAAUUACAGUUGUAUUAUCAAAUAUGGCAUAAGGAAUUUUUUCAGUCACACACGUAUAGAGAAUUAUAAUUCUAUAUAACCAUAAAAGAGUGUAAAUAUAAUUACUAGUCUAACAACUACAUUUUUAUCUAAUUACUCUGUACUAUCCAAACAGACCCUAAAAAGAUAAAAUUACAUUUAAACAAAGUCAAACGUUAGCUAAUGGUUGACUAUUUUGCAAAAAAUAAUAAAUGAUGAAAAUGUAAUUUAUUGAAAGCUUAGUGAUUAUUUGUGUAAUUUGCUUUUUUUUUUAAGGACGCAUAAAUCGAGAAUUUUAAAGUCAAACAUGUUACUUCCGAGCACCCAACUUUAAUUAUGUUGAAGAUCAAGCUAGAUCUUCAAUAGAAUAAUCUUACAAGCCUUUUAAUCUUGGAUUUAAUUUGGAUCAGUUCAUCAUUUGUUGCAAUUAGCGCCCGGUUUUGUAGCUUUACAAUUUUAAGUGCCAAUCCGGCAUGUGUUCCUUAGAAAAACGUGGAAACCUUUUCAUCCUCAUCCUCACCGGCCAAAACGGCGAGCACCGGCUCAACCCCAACCUGUUCAGCUCCAUCAUUUCAGCCAUUUCACGAGCCAAGGUUGAGUCAACCCGUGGUUCAGCUCUUGUCACUGUGUCGCAUGGCAAGUUCUUCUGUAAUGGCUUCGACCUCGAUUGGGUCAACGCUGCAGGAUCCGAUGAAGAAACCCAACAACGCUUCAACCUUUUACUCGACAACCUCAAGCAGCUCGUCCUAGCCUUCAUCUCCCUCCCCAUGCCCACCAUCGCCGCCGUCAAUGGUCACGCCGCCGCUGGCGG
Molecule: long non-coding RNA, 8278 nt
Filed under: Gossypium barbadense (sea-island cotton)
Lineage: Eukaryota; Viridiplantae; Streptophyta; Magnoliopsida; Malvales; Malvaceae
Description: long non-coding RNA (GBAR_LNC013951)
Source: RNAcentral